AUACGUAGGUGACAAGCGUUAUCCGGAUUUACUGGGCGUAAAGGGCGUGUAGGCGGUCUUGCAAGUCAGAAGUGAAAUUCCUGAGCUCAACUCGGGCGCUGCUUCUGAAACUGCAGGACUUGAGUGCUGGAGGGGAUAGCGGAAUUCCUAGUGGAGCGGUAAAAUGCGCAGAUAUUAGGAAGAACACCGGUGGCGAAGGCGACUAUCUGGACAGUAACUGACGCUGAGGCGCGAAAGCGUGGGGAGCAAACAGGAUUAGAUACCCGGGUAGUCCACGCCGUAAACGAUGAAUACUAGGUGUAGGGGGUAUCGACUCCCUCUGUGCCGCAGUUAACACAAUAAGUAUUCCGCCUGGGGAGUACGGCCGCAAGGUUGAAACUCAAAUGAAUUGACGGGG
This 397-nucleotide ribosomal RNA is filed under the name uncultured bacterium. RNAcentral describes it as "partial 16S ribosomal RNA". It matches the Rfam family "Bacterial small subunit ribosomal RNA", at positions 523 to 918 of the family's 1533-position model. The record is from RNAcentral.